Long non-coding RNA from Symphalangus syndactylus (siamang), 673 nucleotides. RefSeq lists it as uncharacterized. The record is from RefSeq and is a predicted model, not a curated record. Lineage: Eukaryota; Metazoa; Chordata; Mammalia; Primates; Hylobatidae.
ACAGCUGAGGAGGUUAAAAACAGAUCCUGAUUUAUUUGGUUCCUGGAUAUGCACAAGGAAACUCAGUGGGGAUGCUGGAUGACCCAUAGAAUUGCUGGACCAGAAAGAAGCAUGACUUUCCCAUGGGACAUCCAAAAACCUAUGAACCUUCCCAGACGGAGUCUCGCUCUGUUGCCCAGGCCAGAGUGCAGUGGCAAGAUCUCGGCUCACGGCAAGCUCCACCUCGCGGGUUCACUCCAUUCUCCUGCCUCAGCCUCCCGAGUAGCUGGGACUACAGGUGCCCGCCACCACACUCGGAUAAUUUUUUUGUAUUUUUAGUAGAGACAGGGUUUCACCGUGUUAGCCAGGAUGGUCUCAAUCUCCUGACCUCGUGAUCUGCCCGUCUCAGCCUCCCAAAGUACUGGGAUUAUAGGCGUGAGCAACUGCGCCUGGCCCCAGGCAUUUUAUUUCUUAGAAAUAAAGUAACAUAAAUUAUGUGUCUGUUUCUUCACAUUUGUCUCUAGGGACUUUAUAUGCCCAAACAGAUGAGCUCAAAUAGAGCAGUACAUGACUCAAAGGAAUUCUGCCAAAUCCACUUUCUCAGUUUUGAGUUGCAGAUAUGGGAUUAUAAGCACCAGAUAAACAUUAGCUCUCCAGCAGCAAAAAGAAACAAAACCUUUCCUUGGACGGGAUG